GGGCGUUUAGCUCAGUUGGGAGAGCGUCUGCCUUACAAGCAGAUGGUCGGGGGUUCAAGUCCCUCAACGCCCACCA
This 76-nucleotide transfer RNA is filed under the name Candidatus Cloacimonadota bacterium. Its description in RNAcentral is "tRNA-Val". It matches the Rfam family "tRNA". From Rfam's summary of the family: Transfer RNA (tRNA) molecules are approximately 80 nucleotides in length. Their secondary structure includes four short double-helical elements and three loops (D, anti-codon, and T loops). Lineage: Bacteria; Pseudomonadati; Candidatus Cloacimonadota. The record is from RNAcentral.